This 221-nucleotide small nucleolar RNA is filed under the name Nelumbo nucifera (sacred lotus). Its description in RNAcentral is "Plant small nucleolar RNA U3". It matches the Rfam family "Plant small nucleolar RNA U3". From Rfam's summary of the family: Small nucleolar RNAs (snoRNAs) are involved in the processing and modification of rRNA in the nucleolus. There are two main classes of snoRNAs: the box C/D class, and the box H/ACA class. Lineage: Eukaryota; Viridiplantae; Streptophyta; Magnoliopsida; Proteales; Nelumbonaceae. The record is from Rfam by way of RNAcentral.
ACGACCUUACUUGAACAGGAUCUGUUCUAUAGGCUCGUACCUCUGUAUCCUUGAGUUCCAAGGAGACAGGAAUCUCAGUCUAGUGGAUGGAUAAUGACCAUGUGAUCAGAGCGUGAUUAACGACUGCAAUCUCAAGAUUUGGGUUGCCCCGGCAGUAGAGGAUCGUUCUCAGUCAUCUCUGAUCUGAUAGCUGAGAUGGUCGCAUGGUUGUCUGACAGACU